This 467-nucleotide ribosomal RNA is filed under the name uncultured bacterium. RNAcentral's name for it is "partial 16S ribosomal RNA". It matches the Rfam family "Bacterial small subunit ribosomal RNA", at positions 28 to 507 of the family's 1533-position model. The record is from RNAcentral.
GACGAACGCUGGCGGCGUGCUUAACACAUGCAAGUCGAACGGUGAAGCAGAGCUUGCUCUGUGGAUCAGUGGCGAACGGGUGAGUAACACGUGAGUAACCUGCCCUUGACUCUGGGAUAAGCGUUGGAAACGACGUCUAAUACCGGAUACGAGCUGAGACCGCAUGGUCAUCAGUUGGAAAGAUUUUUUGGUCAAGGAUGGACUCGCGGCCUAUCAGCUUGUUGGUGAGGUAAUGGCUCACCAAGGCGGCGACGGGUAGCCGGCCUGAGAGGGUGACCGGCCACACUGGGACUGAGACACGGCCCAGACUCCUACGGGAGGCAGCAGUGGGGAAUAUUGCACAAUGGGCGCAAGCCUGAUGCAGCAACGCCGCGUGAGGGAUGACGGCCUUCGGGUUGUAAACCUCUUUUAGUAGGGAAGAAGCGAAAGUGACGGUACCUGCAGAAAAAGCACCGGCUAACUACGUG